AAUGAACGCUGGCGGCAAGCCUAACACAUGCAAGUCGAACGGGGUUAUAUAUAGCUUGCUAUAGUGUAGCCUAGUGGCAGACGGGUGAGUAAUGUAUAGGAAUCUACCUAGUAGUACGGAAUAAUUACUGGAAACGGCAACUAAUACCGUAUACGCCCUAUGGGGGAAAGAUUUAUUGCUAUUAGAUGAGCCUAUAUUAGAUUAGCUAGUUGGUAGGGUAAUGGCCUACCAAGGCUAUGAUCUAUAGCUGAUCUGAGAGGAUGAUCAGCCACACUGGAACUGAGAUACGGUCCAGACUCCUACGGGAGGCAGCAGUGGGGAAUAUUGGACAAUGAGCGGAAGCUUGAUCCAGCUAUGCCGCAUGAGUGAAGAAGGCCUUUGGGUUGUAAAGCUCUUUCAGUGAGGAAGAUAAUGACGGUACUCAC
RNAcentral lists this ribosomal RNA (425 nucleotides) under Wolbachia sp. RNAcentral describes it as "bacterial SSU rRNA". It matches the Rfam family "Bacterial small subunit ribosomal RNA", at positions 29 to 482 of the family's 1533-position model. Lineage: Bacteria; Pseudomonadati; Pseudomonadota; Alphaproteobacteria; Rickettsiales; Anaplasmataceae. The record is from RNAcentral.